Molecule: unclassified non-coding RNA, 345 nt
Filed under: soil metagenome
Description: partial contains 5.8S ribosomal RNA, internal transcribed spacer 2, and large subunit ribosomal RNA
Rfam family: 5.8S ribosomal RNA (bases 1-120)
Source: RNAcentral
GAUGAAGAACGUAGCGAAAUGCGAUACGUAAUGUGAAUUGCAGAAUUCAGUGAAUCAUCGAGUCUUUGAACGCACAUUGCGCCCCCUGGUAUUCCGGGGGGCAUGCCUGUCCGAGCGUCAUUGCUGCCCUCAAGCACAGCUUGUGUGUUGGGCCUCCGUCCUCCUCCCGGGGGACGGGCCCGAAAGGCAGCGGCGGCACCGCGUCCGGUCCUCGAGCGUAUGCGGCUUCGUCACCCGCUCUUGUAGGCCCGGCCGGCGCUUGCCGACACAUCAAUCUUUUUUCCAGGUUGACCUCGGAUCAGGUAGGGAUACCCGCUGAACUUAAGCAUAUCAAUAAGCGGAGGA